Molecule: ribosomal RNA, 520 nt
Filed under: uncultured Glomus
Lineage: Eukaryota; Fungi; Glomeromycota; Glomeromycetes; Glomerales; Glomeraceae
Description: SSU rRNA
Rfam family: Eukaryotic small subunit ribosomal RNA
Source: RNAcentral
AGCAGCCGCGGUAAUUCCAGCUCCAAUAGCGUAUAUUAAAGUUGUUGCAGUUAAAAAGCUCGUAGUUGAAUUUCGGGAUCAGUUGAUCGGUCGUGCCUCGGUACGUACUGGUCAAAUUGAUUCCUACCUUCUGACGAACCACGAUGUCAUUAAUUUGGUGUCGCGGGAAAUCAGGACUGUUACUUUGAAAAAAUUAGAGUGUUUAAAGCAGGCUCGCGCUUGAAUACAUUAGCAUGGAAUAAUGAAAUAGGACGUUUGAUUCUAUUUUGUUGGUUUCUAGGAUCGACGUAAUGAUUAAUAGGGAUAGUUGGGGGCAUUAGUAUUCAAUUGUCAGAGGUGAAAUUCUUGGAUUUAUUGAAGACUAACUACUGCGAAAGCAUUUGCCAAGGAUGUUUUCAUUAAUCAAGAACGAAAGUUAGGGGAUCGAAGACGAUCAGAUACCGUCGUAGUCUUAACCAUAAACUAUGCCGACUAGGGAUCGGAUGAUGUUAAUUUUUAAUGACUCAUUCGGCGCCUUACG